AGAGUUUGAUCCUGGCUCAGGACGAACGUUGGCGGUGCGCUUAAUGCAUGCAAGUCGAGGGAGAAGCAGACGUUCCGUAAGGUUCGACUGUGGAAACCGGCGAACGGGUGCGUAACACGUGAGAAACCUGCCCCCCAGAUCGGGAUAGCCCAGGGAAACUUGGAUUAAUACCGGAUACUCUCUUUGGACCGCAUGGUCCUUUGAGGAAACAGUCCGCUGCUGGGGGAUGGUCUCGCGGCCUAUCAGCUUGUUGGUGAGGUAAUGGCUCACCAAGGCUAAGACGGGUAGCUGGUCUGAGAGGACGAUCAGCCACACUGGAACUGAGACACGGUCCAGACUCCUACGGGAGGCAGCAGCAGGGAAUAUUGCACAAUGGGCGAAAGCCUGAUGCAGCGACACCGCGUGCGGGAUGAAGGCCCUCGGGUUGUAAACCGCUUUCAGGAGGGACGAAAAUGACGGUACCUCCAGAGGAAGGCCCGGCCAACUACGUGCCAGCAGCCGCGGUAAUACGUAGGGGCCAAACGUUGUCCGGAUUUAUUGGGCGUAAAGGGCUCGUAGGCGGUUCAACAAGUCGAUCGUGAAAGCCCGGGGCUCAACCCCGGGACGCCGGUCGAAACUGUUGUGACUAGGGUCCGGUAGAGGUGAGUGGAAUUCUCGGUGUAGCGGUGGAAUGCGCAGAUAUCGAGAGGAACACCAGUU
RNAcentral lists this ribosomal RNA (699 nucleotides) under uncultured bacterium. RNAcentral's name for it is "bacterial SSU rRNA". It matches the Rfam family "Bacterial small subunit ribosomal RNA", at positions 8 to 714 of the family's 1533-position model. The record is from RNAcentral.